UACCACUUGUUGCCUCGGCGGAUCACCCGCUCCCGGUAAAACGGGACGGCCCGCCAGAGGACCCCUAAACUCUGUUUCUAUAUGUAACUUCUGAGUAAAACCAUAAAUAAAUCAAAACUUUCAACAACGGAUCUCUUGGUUCUGGCAUCGAUGAAGAACGCAGCAAAAUGCGAUAAGUAAUGUGAAUUGCAGAAUUCAGUGAAUCAUCGAAUCUUUGAACGCACAUUGCGCCCGCCAGUAUUCUGGCGGGCAUGCCUGUUCGAGCGUCAUUUCAACCCUCAAGCACAGCUUGGUGUUGGGACUCGCGUUAAUUCGCGUUCCCCAAAUUGAUUGGCGGUCACGUCGAGCUUCCAUAGCGUAGUAGUAAAACCCUCGUUACUGGUAAUCGUCGCGGCCACGCCGUUAAACCCCAACUUCUGAAUGUUGACCUCGGAUCAGGUAGGAAUACCCGCUGAACUUAAGCAU
RNAcentral lists this ribosomal RNA (465 nucleotides) under Fusarium oxysporum f. sp. lycopersici. RNAcentral describes it as "eukaryotic LSU rRNA". The stretch from base 116 to 269 matches the Rfam family "5.8S ribosomal RNA". Lineage: Eukaryota; Fungi; Ascomycota; Sordariomycetes; Hypocreales; Nectriaceae. The record is from RNAcentral.